RNAcentral lists this ribosomal RNA (386 nucleotides) under uncultured bacterium. Its description in RNAcentral is "bacterial SSU rRNA". It matches the Rfam family "Bacterial small subunit ribosomal RNA", at positions 29 to 396 of the family's 1533-position model. The record is from RNAcentral.
AGCGAACGUUAGCGGCGGGCCUAACACAUGCAAGUCGAACGAGAAUGAGGGGGCAACUCCUCUAGUAAAGUGGCGGACGGGUGCGUAACACGUUGGUAAUCUACCUUCCGGCGGGGGACAACAGUCCGAAAGGAUUGCUAAUACCGCAUACGUCGACGAGGUCUCCGGAUCUUGUCGGGAAAGACGGCCUCUCCUUGGAAGCUGUCACCGGAAGAUGAACCUGCGGCCCAUCAGCUAGUUGGUGAGGUAACGGCUCACCAAGGCGAAGACGGGUAGCUGGUCUGAGAGGAUGAUCAGCCACACUGGGACUGCGACACGGCCCAGACUCCUACGGGAGGCAGCAGUGGGGAAUAUUGGGCAAUGGGCGCAAGCCUGACCCAGCCACG